RNAcentral lists this long non-coding RNA (6632 nucleotides) under Gallus gallus (chicken). RNAcentral describes it as "lncRNA (ENSGALG00010020996.1)". Lineage: Eukaryota; Metazoa; Chordata; Aves; Galliformes; Phasianidae. The record is from RNAcentral.
GGGGUAUCUGGCUUUGGGGUCGUGGGUACUGGGGGUAACUGGUUUUGGGGUUGUGGGUAUUGGGGGCAUCAGUUAUUGGGGGUAUCUGGUUUUGGGGUUUCAGUUAUUGGGGGUAUCUGGUUUUGGGGUUGUGGGUAUUGGGAGUAUCAGUUAUUGGGGGUAUCUGGUUUUGGGGUCGUGGGUAUUGGGGGUAUCUGGUUUUGGGGUUGUGGGUAUUGGAGGUUUCAGUUAUUGGGGUAUCUGGUUUUGGGGUCAUGGAUAUUGGGGGUCUCAGUUAUUGGGGUUAUCUGGUUUUGGGGUCGUGGGUAUUGGGGGUAUCAGUUAAAGGGGGGAUCUGGUUUUGGGGUCAUGGAUAUUGGGGGUUUCAGUUACUGGGGGUAUCUGCUUUUGGGGUCGUGGGUAUUGGGGGUAUCAGUUAUUGGGGUAUCUGGUUUUGGGGUCGUGGGUAUUGGGAGUAUCAGUUAUUGGGGUAUCUGGUUUUGGGAUCGUGGGUAUUGGGGGUAUCAGUUAAAGGGGGGAUCUGGUUUUGGGGUCAUGGAUAUUGGGGGUAUCUGUUUUUUAGGGGUAUCUGGUUUUGGGGUUGUGUGUAUUGGGGGUAUCAGUUAUUGGGGUAUCUGGUUUUGGGGUCGUGGGUAUUGGGGGUAUCAGUUAUUGGGGUAUCUGGUUUUGGGGUCGUGGGUAUUGGGGGGUCAUGGUUAUUGGUGGUAUCUCGUUAUUGGGGUAGUGGUUAUGGGGAGUAUCUGUUACUGGAGGUCAUGGUUAUUGGGGGUAUCUGUUUUUGGGGUCCCGGUUAUUGGGUUUCGGGAUUAUCCGUCAUUAAAGAUCAUGAUAAUUGGGGUUAUCUAUUUGUGGGUCAUGGUUAUUGGGUGAUCAGUUAUUAGGGUCACUGGUUAUUGGGGUUAUGAGCAUUGGGAGUAUCAGCUAUUGGGGUUAUCUAUUGGGGGGUCAUGGUUAUUGGGGUGAUCAGUUAUUAGGGUCACGGGUUAUUGGGGUUAUGAGCAUUGGGAGUAUCAGCUAUUGGGGUUAUCUGUUGGGGGGUCGCGGUUAUCGGGGCUGUUAGGUAUUGGGGUGCUGGUUAUUGGGGUUAUCUGUUCUUGCAGUUGUGGUUUGGGGGGUUAUGGUUGUUGGGGUUAUCAGUUGCUGGAGGCCAUGGUCUUUGGGGUUAUUAGGGUUAUUGGGGUCACGGUUAUUUGGGGUAUCUAUAUUGGGGGUAUCAGUUACUGGGGGUCAUAUUAUUGGGGCUAUUUGGGGUCUCCGUUAUUUGGGGUAUUAGUUAUUGGAGGUAUCCAUCUUUGGGGUUAUGGUUAUUGGGGUGAUCAGUGAUUGGAGGUCAUAGUUACUGGGAUGAUCAGUUGGUAGGGUUAUUGGGGUCAUGGUUAUUGGGGGUAUCAAUAUGUUUUGGGGCUAUCGGUUAUCGGGGUGAUCAGUUAUUGGAGGUCACAGGUAUUGGGGUGAUCGGGUAUUGGGGUUACUGGUUAUUGGGAUCAUUGUUAUUGGGGUUAUCGGGUAUUGGGAAUAGCAGCUGUUGGCAUUAUCGGGGUGAUCAGUUAUUAGGGUUACUGGUUAUUGGGGUCAUGGUCAUUGGGGUUAUCUGUUUUUGGGGUCAUGACAGUGGGGGCUAUUGGGUAUUGAGGAUAUUGGUUGUUGGGGUGAUCAGGUAUUGGGGUUAUCAGGUAUUGGGGUUGUGAUUAUUGGGGUGAUCAGGUAUUGGGGUAUCAGUUAUUGGGGUUGUGAUUAUUGGGGUUAUUGGGUAUUGGGGUAUCAGUUAUUGGGGUUGUGAUUAUUGGGGUUAUCAGGUAUUGGGGUUGUAUUGGGGUUGUGAUUAUUGGGGUGAUCAGGUAUUGAGGUUAUCGGGUGUUGGGGUUGUGAUUAUUGGGGUGAUCAGGUAUUGGGGUUGUGAUUAUUGGGGUUAUCGGGUAUUGGGGUUAUCAGGUACUGGGGUUGUGAUUAUUGGGGUUAUCGGGUAUUGGGGUUAUCAGGUAUUGGGGUUGUGAUUAUUGGGGUUAUCGGGUAUUGGGGUUAUCAGGUAUUGGGGUUGUGAUUAUUGGGGUUAUCGGGUAUUGGGGUUGUGAUUAUUGGGGUGAUCAGGUAUUGGGGUUGUGAUUAUUGGGGUUAUCGGGUAUUGGGGUAUCAGUUAUUGGGGUUGUGAUUAUUGGGGUUAUCGGGUAUUGGGGUGAUCAGGUAUUGGGGUUGUGAUUAUUGGGGUUAUCAGGUAUUGGGGUGAUCAGGUAUUGGGGUUAUCGGUAUUGGGGUUGUGAUUAUUGGGGUGAUCAGGUAUUGGGGUUGUGAUUAUUAGGGUUAUCAGGUAUUGGGGUAUCAGUUAUUGGAGUUGUGAUUAUUGGGGUAGUGAUUAUUGGGGUUAUCAGGUGUUGGGGUAUCAGUUAUUGGGGUUGUGAUUAUUGGGGUUAUUGGGUAUUGGGGUAUCAGUUGGUGGGGUUAUCAGUUACUGCAGUCGUGGUUAUUGGGAUCAUCGUGGUUGGAGUUCUCACUUAGUGGGUUUAUUGAUUUUUGGGGCCACGGUUGUCGGGGUUUUUGGGGUUAUCAGUUAUCGGAGGUCACAGUUCUUGGGAUUAUCAGUUAUUGGUGUCGUCGUUGUUGGGGUUAUCAGUUAUUGGGGUUAUCAGUUAUCGGAGGUCACAGUUCUUGGAGUUAUCAGUUAUUGGGGUUGUGGUUAUGGGGUUUAUUGAUUCGUUUUUGGGGGCGGCAUCGCAGUCGUUGAGGUUACCAAUUGUUGGGGUUCUCUCUAAAGAAGGGGUGUGUGGCCCUCGAAGAAAGCAGCCAAAACGUGGUGCUGUCCCCCCAAAACAGCCCUAAGAUGUGCGGCCGCAGAGCGACCCCAAAGCGUCCCCCCAAAAAGGGACCUCGUGGUCAAUCGGCCCCACAGGGACGGACGGCCCGGAAGGGAGGAGUGGGGUUGGAGGCCCCGCGUCCCUACUAAUAUGGGAUGCCGAAAAGUCCGAGUGUGUGCAUUAAUAGGGCGGGAGGUUUCGGUAGGUGGCAGUGUGACCCCACAGCCGCUGCUGAACCCCACAACUGCCCGGAAAUGGGGGGAAUUCCCGUAAAUUAUGGGGCUGCUGAGCAUCCCGUUGCUCCGUGUUGAUCACUUGGGGGGCGCCGAGCUCUAUUGGGGUCGUAGUGAUUGAGGGUAUCAGUUAUUGGGGGUAUUGCUUUUUUUGGGGUCACGGUCAUUGGGAGUAUCGGUUAUUGGGAGCAUUGGUUAUUGGGGUCGUGGGUUUUGGGGUUCCAGUGAUUGGGGUCGUGAUUAUUGAGGGUAUUAUCAUGAUUAUUGGGGUGUUAUCAGUUAUUGGGGUCAUGGUUGUUGGGGGUAUUAUUUUUGGGGGGUUAUUGGGGUAUUGGUGGGGGUAUCAGUUAUUGGAGUCACAGAUAUUGGGGGAUUGGUUAUUGGGGUCAUGGCUUGGGGUGGGUCAUGGUGAUUAGGGGUAUUUAGUGGUUAUUGGGGUCAUGGUGAUUGGGGUCAUGGUUAUUGGGGGUAUUGGUUAUUGGAGUCACAGAUAUUGGGGGGCAUAGGUUAUUGGGGUCACAGUUGUUGGAGAGAUGGUUUUGGGGGGGUUAUUGGUUAUUGGGGGUUUUGUUAUUGGGGUUUUGUUAUUGGGAUCAUAGCUAUUGAGGGUAUUGUUUUGGGGGGUUGUCAGUUAUUGGGGUCACGGUUAUUGGGGGUAUCAGAGUGACAGAUACUGGGGGGCAUAGGUUAUUGGGGUCACAGUUAUUGGAGUGAUGGUUUUGGGGGGUAUCGGUGAUUGGGGUCAUGGUUAUUGAGGGUUUUGUUAUUGGGGUUGUGGUCAUUGGGGCUAUUGGUUAUUGGGGUCACGGUUACCGGGGAUAUCAGUUAUCAGAGUCACAGAUUUUGGGGGCAUUGGUUAUUGGGGUCGCAGCGGAGGCUUGGUUUUGGGGAGUCAUAGCGAUUUGGGGUAUCCAUUUUUGGGGUCGUGGUGAUUGGGUUAUUGGGGGGGGGUUAUUGAGGUCAUGGUUUGGGGGGUAUCCGUUAAUGGAGUCACAGAUAUUUGGGGGUGUAGGUUGUUGGGGUACAGGUUACUGGGGUCACAGUCAUCGGAGGCAUGGUUUGGGGGGUCAUAGUGAUUGGGGUAUCGGUUAUCGGGGUGACGGGGCGUACUGUUUUUGGGGGGGUUGUUGGAGUCACAGGUAUUGAGGCUACGGGUUACUGGGGUCGUAGUUAUCGAUGGUACGGUUUUGGGGCGAUGGUGGUUUUGGGAUGACGGUUAACGGGGUCACGGUUGUUGGAGGUGUUGGUUUGGGGGUUCAAAGAGAUGGUAGGUUGCGGUGGUUGGUUUGGGGGGGUCAUGGUUAUGGGGAAUUGGCUUUUGGGGACACGUGCAUCCCCACCCCGCCCCGCCGGGCUCUGACGUAUCCCAUUAAUCACGGGACUGGAAAAUCACCCGCUGUCUCCGAUUUCCCUCUCCGGGAAGGUCGGGGGGAAGGGCAGCGCCGGGGCUGUGGGGCGGCCCUAUUCCGAUGAGCGCAAUCUCCUGGCGCGGCCCCAAGUGUCACAUGGGGCCGUUGGAGGAGCUCCAUCCCAAUGGGGCCGGGUGGAUCCUGAGUGAUCCUACAGGCGUCGAUCCGAAGGACCCGGCUCCCUUUUUCCCUGACCUGGCACCCACCCCAUUGAGUGGCAUCCCCGUACGGUCCUCUGCUUUGGGGUGGGGGCAGACCCUAUAAAGCAUUGCGGGGGGGAAUUGUGAGCUGUGUGUCAAACGAAAUCCCAUUAGCGAACCCCAAAGCCUUCCGUGAGACCCUCCCCGUGCUGCGGUUCCCUCCUUCACCUUCUGCUGGUGGUGCCGACCCCAUAGGAAUCGCCCCCAGAGAUGCCCCACUUUGGGGACCGGCCAUAUAGAUCCUAAAUAGAUAGAUAUGUGUGGGUUUGGCACGCUGGCCCAGCAGGAGCCCCCCACAUCUAUGGGGCGGAUUCAUCCCUCGUUCCCCAUCGGGAUGUGACCUAAUGGGGAUGCUCCCAUCCCGGCUUUGGGAUGGGGGGCAAUUAUGUGUGUAAUAGGGCAGAAACGAGAACUUUGCCCGCUGUGCAGGUGGAGCUUGAAAGCCCUCAUUCUGCUAUUAGGGUCAUAAAGCUCUCUCCGGUGCCAUAAAUCCUUAUCUUGGUGGAGGGGGACGGAUAGUUCCGGAAACCCAAAGGACAUUCACACCCCAAACCCCACACUGAUGUCUUCCCCCAAUGUCUUCCACAUUGGGGAGUGGUGUGGCCGGGCAGCGGGGUGCGUUUCCCCUACAGGAGCAGUAGGGUCGUUUGGAGUUAGUGGGAUAAGGGCUCUGCUCCGGGUCUGGGGGGUAUUAUAGGGGAUUUCUGUAGGGCAACAAGCCAUGCUGCCAUUGGGCUGACGGCGGCGGUGGGCUGCGUGCAUUGGAUGUAUGGGAUGGGGAUGAGGACAGGGAUGGGGACGAGGUGGGAUGGGAGGGACAGAGAUUUGGGAAUGGGUGGGGUGGGAAUGAGAAUGGGGAUGGGAUAGGAUGGGGACAGGAAUGGGUAUGGGGUGAGAAUGGGAUGGGAAUGAGAUUUGGGUUGGGAUGGGAUGGAGUGGGCAUGCAGUGAGAGUGGGAUGGGGAUGGCAUAGGAUGAGGAUAGCGACCGGGAUGGGAAUGGGAUAGGAAUGGGAUGGAAUGGGAUGGGGAUGCGAUUUGGGAUGAGGAUAGGAUGGAAUGGGCAUGCAAUGAGGAUGAGAGGGGGAUGGGAUGGGGAUGAGGAUAGCAACAGGGAUAGGGACAGAGACAGGGAUGAAGAUGGAUGGGGAUGAGGAUUAGGGCGGGGAGGGGAAUGAGUAUGGGAUGGUAUGGGGGCAGGAAUGGGGAUGGGAUGGAAGUGGGAUAGGGAUGGGGAUGGGUGAGGAUAGAGAUGAGGAUGGGGACAGGAAUGGGGAUGGAGAUGGGAUAGGAUGGGAAUGAGGAUGGAGAUGGGGUGAAGAUGAAGAUGGGCUAGGAUGGGAUGAGGGUGGGGAUGGGGAUGGAGAUGAGAUAGGAUGGGAUGGGGAUGGGGUGAAGAUGGAGAUGGGACGGGAUGGGAAUGAGGACAGGGAUGGGGAUGGAGAUGAGAUAGGAUGGGAAUGAGGGUGGGGAUGGGGUUAAGAUGGAGAUGGGACAGGAUGGAAAUGAGGGUGGGGUGAAGAUGGAGAUGGGAUAGGAUGGGAAUAGGGGCAGGGACGGGGAUGGGAUGGAGAUGGGAUGGGAAUGGGAUAAAGAUGGAGAUGGGAUAGGAUGGGAAUGGGGAUGGGGUGAAGAUGGAGAUGGGAUGGGAAUGGGAUAAAGAUGGAGAUGGGAUAGGAUGGGAAUGGGGAUGGGGUGAAGAUGGAGAUGGGAUAGGAUGGAAAUGAGGAUGGAAAUGGGAUAGGAUGGAAAUGAGGGUGGGGAUGGGGUGAAGAUGGAGAUGGGAUGGGAAUGAGGGUGGGGUGAAGAUGGAGAUGGGAUGGGAAUGAGGGCAGGGAUGGGGACGGAGAUGGGAAGGAGGGCAGGAACAGAGAGGGGAUGCGGACAGCGAUGGGGAUGGAUGGGAAUGGGGAGGGGAUGGGCUCAGAUGGGUCCAUCUCCGCACCCGGCCGAGGGAAGGCGCCGCGCUCGGAGCGGACCCCGGACUGAGCGCAGGGCUGAAG